GUCUAUGGCCAUACCACCCUGAACCCACCCACUCUUGUCUGAUCUUGGAAGCUAAGCAGGGUCUGGCCUGAUUAGUACUUGGAAGGGAGAAAUGACACCUGCCACUUCCC
Molecule: ribosomal RNA, 110 nt
Filed under: Heterocephalus glaber (naked mole-rat)
Lineage: Eukaryota; Metazoa; Chordata; Mammalia; Rodentia; Bathyergidae
Source: RNAcentral